This 86-nucleotide non-coding RNA is filed under the name Thermus scotoductus. Its description in RNAcentral is "c-di-GMP-II sequence". It matches the Rfam family "Cyclic di-GMP-II riboswitch aptamer". The record is from RNAcentral. Lineage: Bacteria; Thermotogati; Deinococcota; Deinococci; Thermales; Thermaceae.
AGGGCGUUCGGAGGCGAUGAACCGUGGAACCCAAGAUGGGCGCCAAGGGACACGGGGAGCCAGUGGCGCAACCGGCCGAACGUCGA